UUAUCCGGGUUGCGGACAGUGUCUGGUGGGUAGUUUGACUGGGGCGGUCUCCUCCUAAAGAGUAACGGAGGAGCACGAAGGUUGGCUAAUCCUGGUCGGACAUCAGGAGGUUAGUGCAAUGGCAUAAGCCAGCUUGACUGCGAGCGUGACGGCGCGAGCAGGUGCGAAAGCAGGUCAUAGUGAUCCGGUGGUUCUGAAUGGAAGGGCCAUCGCUCAACGGAUAAAAGGUACUCCGGGGAUAACAGGCUGAUACCGCCCAAGAGUUCAUAUCGACGGCGGUGUUUGGCACCUCGAUGUCGGCUCAUCACAUCCUGGGGCUGAAGUAGGUCCCAAGGGUAUGGCUGUUCGCCAUUUAAAGUGGUACGCGAGCUGGGUUUAGAACGUCGUGAGACAGUUCGGUCCCUAUCUGCCGUGGGCGCUGGAGAACUGAGGGGGGCUGCUCCUAGUACGAGAGGACCGGAGUGGACGCAUCACUGGUGUUCGGGUUGUCAUGCCAAUGGCACUGCCCGGUAGCUAAAUGCGGAAGAGAUAAGUGCUGAAAGCAUCUAAGCACGAAACUUGCCCCGAGAUGAGUUCUCCCUGACUCCUUGAGAGUCCUGAAGGAACGUUGAAGACGACGACGUUGAUAGGCCGGGUGUGUAAGCGCAGCGAUGCGUUGAGCUAACCGGUACUAAUGAACCGUGAGG
Molecule: ribosomal RNA, 686 nt
Filed under: Escherichia coli
Lineage: Bacteria; Pseudomonadati; Pseudomonadota; Gammaproteobacteria; Enterobacterales; Enterobacteriaceae
Description: partial 23S ribosomal RNA
Rfam family: Bacterial large subunit ribosomal RNA
Source: RNAcentral